AUUGAACGCUGGCGGCAUGCUUUACACAUGCAAGUCGAACGGUAACAGGCCGCAAGGUGCUGACGAGUGGCGAACGGGCGAGUAAUGCAUCGGAACGUGCCCAGUCGUGGGGGAUAACGCAGCGAAAGCUGCGCUAAUACCGCAUACGAUCUAUGGAUGAAAGCGGGGGACCGUAAGGCCUCGUGCGAUUGGAGCGGCCGAUGUCAGAUUAGGUAGUUGGUGGGGUAAAGGCUCACCAAGCCAACGAUCUGUAGCUGGUCUGAGAGGACGACCAGCCACACUGGGACUGAGACACGGCCCAGACUCCUACGGGAGGCAGCAGUGGGGAAUUUUGGACAAUGGGCGCAAGCCUGAUCCAGCAAUGCCGCGUGCAGGAAGAAGGCCUUCGGGUUGUAAACUGCUUUUGUACGGAACGAAAAGGUUUGGGUUAAUACCCUGGGCCGAUGACGGUACCGUAAGAAUAAGCACCGGCUAACUACGUGCCAGCCGCCGCCGUAA
This 498-nucleotide ribosomal RNA is filed under the name uncultured bacterium. RNAcentral describes it as "partial 16S ribosomal RNA". It matches the Rfam family "Bacterial small subunit ribosomal RNA", at positions 30 to 523 of the family's 1533-position model. The record is from RNAcentral.